AUGUCGAUGCUGGAAGCCUUCUUCGGCAAGGGCGGCGCCGCCGCCGGCGGCGGCUUCCGCGCCGCCAAGUGCAAGACGCUGCUCAAGCUGUCCAUCCCGCGGAUAAAGCUGCUGCGGAACCGCCGGGAGCUGCAGCUGCGCCAGAUGCGCCGGGACAUCGCCAAGCUCCUCGAGGCCGGCCAGGAAGCCACCGCCAGAAUCAGGGUGGAGCACAUCAUCCGGGAGGAGAACAUGAUGGCGGCGCAGGAGAUCCUGGAGCUCUUCUGCGAGCUCGUCGCCGUUCGCCUGCCCAUCAUUGAGGCCCAAAAGGAAUGCCCUAUAGAUCUCAAAGAGGCAAUAUCCAGCAUCUGUUUUGCUGCUCCUAGGUGUUCAGAUUUGCCUGAACUGAUGCAAGUCCAAAUGAUGUUUGCGACUAAAUAUGGGAAAGAAUUUGCUGCUGCAGCUGCAGAGCUUAUGCCGGAUUCUGGGGUCAACCGGCAGAUAAUUGAACUACUUUCAAUCCGUCCUCCUCCAGUAGAUAUAAAGAUGAAACUGCUGAAGGAGAUUGCUGAGGAGCAUGAGAUCGACUGGGAUCCAUCAGCAACAGAGACGGAAUAUCUUAAACCCCAUGAAGAUCUAUUGAAUGGACCAACCUACUUCAGUGGUUCAACGCUGCCACUUCCAAAGGAGAAACACGUGGAACCAGUAGCUGCAAGUGCCACUGACGAACCUGGUGAAGAUUAUGAAUCUGAUGGCGGCUUUGACUCACUGGAUUUGCCUGAAGUCCCAAAAGCAGCAAUUCGUCCAGCUUCUGGUACUCAAUCAACCCCAGAUAUUGGUCCACAUGUGCAAAGCUCACAGUCGUCUGCUCAUGAUUUCUCAAACCCACCUGACUUGGAAGAGAAUCCAACAGCUGAUGCUGCUUUCUGUAAUUAUCUGAAAAGUUCAGAACCCCCAGUUUCUCCACAAUUUGCUCAGCCAAGGAUGCCAGCUUUACCAGAUGAAAAGAAGCAAUUUGUUCCUUUUGUCUCUCCCCCACCAUUUGCUUCUGCUGCUUCUUCUAUGGAGAGAAGUGACUCGAUUCCCUUAAAUUCUCCUCCAGUGAAGCCAACAGAGCAAGAAUUCUUCACAAGGCCAGUUGAUGAAGUGACUGCUCCCCAAACACCCAAAGAUUUGAACAUGUUCUCGAAUCGUCCAGAACAGGUGCAUUCGAUCUCCCCUAUAGAGAGCGGGGAAAAUAUUGAUAUGGAUGGUGUGGUUUCAGCUGCCCAAACAGCUGCUGAUUCAGCAGAGCGAGCUGCAUCAGCAGCACGUGCUGCUGCAAACCUUGCGAAACUGUGCAUUGCCGAUCUAAAGAAGAACACUAGGGUUUAUGAGAGCCACAGUGAUGAUAGCCAAAAGGAAAGUCAUCAUCAAACUGAGGUGACGCAGAAACCGGUAUUUGAUCAUCAGGACUCUUUUUCCAAUGACUUUGAGGGUUAUGCGCCAUCUCAUGUGCCUCAGAGAUCAACAUCGUUGGAGGACGAUCCAUUCAACUACCCCAACCUCUUCUCAUCGAAGCCUUGA
This 1545-nucleotide ribosomal RNA is filed under the name Triticum aestivum (bread wheat). RNAcentral describes it as "partial small subunit ribosomal RNA". Lineage: Eukaryota; Viridiplantae; Streptophyta; Magnoliopsida; Poales; Poaceae. The record is from RNAcentral.